Molecule: ribosomal RNA, 447 nt
Filed under: uncultured bacterium
Lineage: Bacteria
Description: partial 16S ribosomal RNA
Rfam family: Bacterial small subunit ribosomal RNA
Source: RNAcentral
AGCGAACGCUGGCGGCAGGCUUAACACAUGCAAGUCGAGCGCCCCGCAAGGGGAGCGGCAGACGGGAGAGUAACACGUGGGAACGUACCCUUCAGUUCGGAACAACCCAGGGAAACUUGGGCUAAUACCGAAUACGUCCGUAAGGAGAAAGAUUUAUCGCUGAAGGAUCGGCCCGCGUCUGAUUGGCUAGUUGGUGAGGUAACGGCUCACCAAGGCGACGAUCAGUAACUGGUCUGAGAGGAUGAUCAGCCUCACUGGGACUGAGACACGGCCCAGACUCCUACGGGAGGCAGCAGUGGGGAAUAUUGGACAAUGGGCGCAAGCCUGAUCCAGCCAUGCCGCGUGGAUGAUGAAGGCCUUAGGGUUGUAAAGUCCUUUUAACGGGGAAGAUAAUGACGGUACCCGUAGAAUAAGCCCCGGCUAACUUCGUGCCAGCCGCCGCGGUAA